Molecule: long non-coding RNA, 1810 nt
Organism: Sardina pilchardus (European sardine)
Lineage: Eukaryota; Metazoa; Chordata; Actinopteri; Clupeiformes; Clupeidae
Exons: 6
Source: RefSeq, a predicted model, not a curated record
UUAGCUGAUUGUAACAUUUACUUAAGUAUAACAUGCAUUUCCUACUAAAUAAUUUUGUGUUACAACAUUUACUUAAAUAAAUCAUGUUACAUUUGCCUUUAGUUCAACUGUAUAGAUUUUAAUCGAUUCAAUUAAGUUAGAAUAACAUGAAACAAUCAAUUUAAAAAAUAAGAAUGUAGUUUAGCCUGCUCCUGACCAUUAGAUGGCGUGAGUGUGCGAUCGGGCUGGAUGCCAACACCUGAAAUACACGAAGAAAUGCCGAUGCAUCUUUUGAAUGUCCUGGCUGUGCUGUGCUGGUGAAGAGUCUGCUUUUUAAGCUCUAAAAGGUCACUGCCAAGGUAUGCUGAUCUGCUGUCCGACUGCAAGUGUUCCUCCAACUGCACCUAUCUGAAGUAGAGCUGUACCAGUGACCUAGCCUGAUUGCCAUCGACUUGAAAGGCUCUGCGAGACUUCAGUCUGACCAAGAGCCUGUGCUAACACGGUUUCUCCCAGCGCUGGUUGACCCGCCUCAUUUAAGUGCCUCGAUUUGCUACUGGUCGAUGUCAGAAAGCGGUUUGCCGAGUUUAAACCAAUAACAACACUCUUUCCUCUGCCUUGAACAUGCCUCUACCCAGAGCCGUUGGAGCUGCUCAAAGUUGAUUGGUUCUCGACCAAAGGGGGCAGUUCCGCAGAUUUCGGGAAUUCAGAAAUCCUUCCCGAUUAGCAGUUGACCAGACCAGCGACAGCAACGCCGAAGGUGUUACGUCACUGGGAGGGCGUGCCAGGCUACCAGUGACCACAAGUUAAAGAUUUUUGCCCACCGACAUCAAGAAGUAGUCUGAGAUGCACCCAUGAUGGCUGAAUUAAGACGAGGUGGCCAGCAUUUUCAAUGUGCGUGAGCUGUGUGCGGAAUUCAAGGGAUCACUGGAUGGAUGCUCCAUCUGCAAACCUGAUGAAGGCAUUUAGUAUCUAUGACUGAGGAUUCUGGCAUUGAUGUCUGCCACGAAUGUGCUCUCCUCUCAAGGGACUGUGCCUAUAUGAAUGAAGACCCUUAGAGCGUCGUGAAGGAAUACAUGCCAGGGGUUCGUAGUCACACGGUAGAGACCAUAUAUGGCAUCAGAUGGCAUAUUCCCCCCCCCCCCCCCGAGGACGUUUGGAUCAUAGGAGCUACGUAACGUACCAUUUGCUUUUGGACUGUGUUUACUUAUAUGAGCAGCUACAGUUUCUACUUUCUAAACAAUGUUUAAUUGUAUCUGUUAUGUGAAAACACACGAUAUGCACUUCAGUGAGCAUUUAAAUGUGCACUUGAACCCUUAACAUGCAAUAUAGCUUUACAAUAUUGUGAUGGGUUUUUUGUAUGUUAGGCUCUUUCAAUAUAAAAGUUGAAUGUUGUGCACUUAAACCUUAAUGUGAAUAUAAGGCUUGAAAUACAGUUUGUAUAUCAAAAAACAUCUUUGUCUGUUAUUUGUUUUAUCUUUUAGGCCUGUCAUUGCAUAAUGUUUACCCCUUUUGGUGUUAACUUAAAUGUAAUACUUUGAACAGAGUUAAUUAAAUCAUGGAAAGUAUUUCCAUGUGAUUCAAUUGCUCUCUUUCAGCAUGAAGUAAUUCAUUUGAACCAACUUGAUUUACUUGGGUUUGUGCAACUUAAUUUGAAGUAGUUUUCAAUAAGUUAAAUCAACUUAAAUAGAUUGUGUUAACCCAACCUAAGUAAAUUAUGUGGGCUCCAAACCUUGCAAACAAGUUUAAUGGACCCUAACAAAUAAAGUUGAACUAACCAAAGUACCUUAAGUUGGACCAAAGAUAUUGCUUAAUGUUGAAAGUAAGUUAUUUA